AUACAAGAUGAUAGUCCAGUAGUGAACACGCGGACGAACAUUUGGACGGUCGUUAUUUUACAGUUGUGCUUUCCAGAUGGAUAAUUGCCGGACUAACAAGACGAAUAUUGGACAAAACUACAUUUUAAAAAGAAUGUUGCUAAUGCAUAAUUCCUUCAGGUGGCCAUCCCGAGAGAAUGGAAAGAUGCUGGAAACAAGCGUUCAGAAAGAUGGCGAUUUCCUAACGUGCUAAACGUGUUUAGGUACCGUGUAAAACUGAAUUUUCACUUUUUAAAUAAUUUAUUAUUUAACGCAUUUCCAAAUGAAUUAUUGGUUAUGAUUAAAAAAAACAACAAACAACAUUUCUACAACGAAUUAAAAAAAAUAAAUAAUUUAAUAAUUUAAAAAUCCUAACUAAACACUAUUUUAUCCUAUCUAUCCUAGCAUGAGUUUUUGUAUGGCGCCAUUACAAAAACUUAAUAUUUCUUUUAUUAUACUAACUGCAUGCAAAAUUAAUUAUUCUAACUGCAUGCUACUGACAAAAAGAAAAAUUGUAUUUAUCUUUUGACUAAUGCAUUUCGGUGUUUUUUUUUUUACUUUUUUCGAGCGAUCUAAUUGCUAAGUGCUAACGAGUCUUUUCGGCACUCAAUAUGUGCUGGCGACGGACGGUUGCGAUCCCAUGACGAUGAUGGUCGCUGGCACUCACUCUCACUUUGACGGGAUUGGCUACUUUGGUGAGAUCCAUCGGCGUCCCGAUGCAAUCUCAGCGCCUGAUUCUCUCUUGCGUAAACCUGGUAUACGAUGACAUCUUCACGCCAAACAACACGUGCGCGAUCUGCUAACGAAUCAAAACGUUGCUGUUUCUGGAUCUUCUUCUGCCGGGCGGAGGUCUGCGGCCGAAAAUACACCGAGACUUUUGCCUGCCUCAUCUGCAAGCUCAUACGAGCUACUGCCGCGUUUCGCUAUCACGGUGCAUGGCGUAUACAGCGGACCAUAUUUCGCAUUAUAGCGAUCUGCUGCCGAAGACAAUUGAAAACUCCGCUUGUAGACUUUCUGCCCUACCUGAUUCACCACUAGCAUAUCUUACUCCGCGGAUGGCCAGUUCAUAUUCCAGCUCGUCGUCUAGAAGAUGUUUGACGUUCAGGGAACGAUACGGUAAAGAAUACUCGGAAUUCAUGAUAGGACAGUUUCAAACGGUUUAAAAAAAUAAAUAUUUUAGGGAACUACGACAAGCAAAUUAAAAUUUAUUAUAAGAAACGCGACAAAAUAAAUAAAUAAAUAACGAAAGAAAUAAAUUAACACGUAUUUAGAUAUUUAGAAGCACAAUUAGAUAAUAAUUCAGGUAUUUUGGUUUCUGUGGCAAUAAAUAUGAUGAUUGAAAUAAAUAAACGAUCAGGA
Molecule: long non-coding RNA, 1377 nt
Organism: Uranotaenia lowii
Lineage: Eukaryota; Metazoa; Arthropoda; Insecta; Diptera; Culicidae
Exons: 4
Source: RefSeq, a predicted model, not a curated record